This 638-nucleotide ribosomal RNA is filed under the name Pseudarthrobacter phenanthrenivorans. Its description in RNAcentral is "bacterial SSU rRNA". It matches the Rfam family "Bacterial small subunit ribosomal RNA", at positions 588 to 1224 of the family's 1533-position model. The record is from RNAcentral. Lineage: Bacteria; Bacillati; Actinomycetota; Actinomycetes; Micrococcales; Micrococcaceae.
UCUGCCGUGAAAGUCCGGGGCUCAACUCCGGAUCUGCGGUGGGUACGGGCAGACUAGAGUGAUGUAGGGGAGACUGGAAUUCCUGGUGUAGCGGUGAAAUGCGCAGAUAUCAGGAGGAACACCGAUGGCGAAGGCAGGUCUCUGGGCAUUAACUGACGCUGAGGAGCGAAAGCAUGGGGAGCGAACAGGAUUAGAUACCCUGGUAGUCCAUGCCGUAAACGUUGGGCACUAGGUGUGGGGGACAUUCCACGUUUUCCGCGCCGUAGCUAACGCAUUAAGUGCCCCGCCUGGGGAGUACGGCCGCAAGGCUAAAACUCAAAGGAAUUGACGGGGGCCCGCACAAGCGGCGGAGCAUGCGGAUUAAUUCGAUGCAACGCGAAGAACCUUACCAAGGCUUGACAUGAACCGGUAACGCCUGGAGACAGGUGCCCCGCUUGCGGUCGGUUUACAGGUGGUGCAUGGUUGUCGUCAGCUCGUGUCGUGAGAUGUUGGGUUAAGUCCCGCAACGAGCGCAACCCUCGUUCUAUGUUGCCAGCACGUGAUGGUGGGGACUCAUAGGAGACUGCCGGGGUCAACUCGGAGGAAGGUGGGGACGACGUCAAAUCAUCAUGCCCCUUAUGUCUUGGGCUUCACGCAUG